This 1718-nucleotide long non-coding RNA is filed under the name Homo sapiens (human). RNAcentral describes it as "HSALNT0281496". Lineage: Eukaryota; Metazoa; Chordata; Mammalia; Primates; Hominidae. The record is from RNAcentral.
CUGAUCUGCUAACUGUCCUCGUUGGAGAGAGUCAGCAGCUGGGCUUUAACUGCUCCACUCUCCCCUGACUCCUCUUUCCAAUGCUUCUACUCCUGUGUAAGGGAGCUUUGGGAAGAAAACACAUUUCAUAAAUCCCUGUGGCUACAGAGAUUGCUGCAAUAGUUAUCAUCAUGCCUAAUGCCCCUGGAUUCCUGCAGACUGUUACACGACUCUGUUGACUCUGAGUCACCGGCACCUGCUGCUGUGAGGAACCUUUAGGUCCUCACUGCUGAUAAACCCAGCAUGAGAGUCGGGAGUGAUGGAUCCAAGAAGAUGAAAUGGCUGCCUUGGGCUCAUUGCAGGAAACAGAAAUCUACCUGGAAAACUGUCGCUCACCUAACAGAGUUGAGAAGGAUGUUAUGUCUUAUGUUCUUAAGAGAAAUGCAGUACGAACCCUGUGAAAUUCAUCAUUGCAUCUCCCAUUUGGUUGCUACAGAGAACGCUGGCAGUUACAUCACAUGCUGACCUUUUUAUGAAGCCUCUCAAGAGAAAUUUUGUUCUGGUCUUAGUAUUAGGAAUACUAGCACUUCACUUGGAUAAUUGGUUUGUUUUUGUUUUACAGACACUAGAUGGCGUCUCACCAUGUUGCCCAGGCUACAUGCAAACUCCUGGGCUCAAGCGAUCCUCCUGCCUCAGCCUCCAAAAGCAGCUGGGACUACAGGAAUGUGCCACCAUACCUGUGCUCAAACUUUUUCAAUAACAGUGAUUCUGCAAGAGAAUCCACAAAAUGGACAAGAAUGGCCUUGAAGGAAAUACAGAUCUCAGAAGGGUAUUUUUAACAGAAAUGCCCUUGAAGGAAGCACAUGUCAUUCCUGGGAAAUUUAUGGUUGGCUUCACCACCAGCCUGCUUUAUUCAUUGUGGCUCCCCCUCUUUGCCCCGCCUAAGCCAUUGCUAUGCCUGGUUUCAAGCACGGACUCAGUCAACACUGGGUUCUGAAGAUUUUACUGGGGACGAGGAAGUCCAUGCAUCAACCAUACGCUUCAUUCCAGGAAUGGCCCCCUGAUAUUUCAUGUCUUGAGGCUAGUCAGGUCACUAAAAGGUAAGAACAAUGCCUAUAAACCAAUAACCCAGCCUGAUGUUCUGGAAUUAAGUCACAAUGAGGGACACUUGGACUACUAUGUGCCGAACACCUGUUCUAAGCCAUUCUCAACAUUCCUGAUUAUAAAUGCAACCUCCUAGUGAUUCUGGUUUUACAUCUAUGGGACUGUGUGAUCACAAGAGCAAAAAAGCUCUCAUGUAUCUGAAGACCAGGGUGGCCUAUAAACCUAGAACUAGCUCAGGACAAAGGAGAGAUCUCACCAGCCCAAAGAAAGCACCAGAAGGUCAAAUAGCUGGGAAAACCUGGGCAGGGGAGGCCCUCUCCAGAAAAAGUAGGCUGCUGGACCACACAGCCACAGAGACACAAUGAGAAAACAGACAAGCGCCCUACUCAAGAUCACAAGGACAACAGUUUUUCACUGAGAACUGGGCUAGGAAUAGGAAAAUUGGCAAUAGGCCAGUUGUCCCUAGAAUAAAUCAGGUAAAUUCUGCUCCAGAGAGGGCAGAGCUGGUGGUGCUGUUCUUCAGGGCAGCACAGCCUCUUUCUGCCACACCUUACUCAGCCAGGGCCAAGUUUGUAGACUGCAGCUGCUGGGUCUCCCGGCAGAUGUUCUGCUCCACUGUGCCACACUCAGCUACG